Molecule: ribosomal RNA, 314 nt
Filed under: Escherichia coli
Lineage: Bacteria; Pseudomonadati; Pseudomonadota; Gammaproteobacteria; Enterobacterales; Enterobacteriaceae
Description: partial 23S ribosomal RNA
Rfam family: Bacterial large subunit ribosomal RNA
Source: RNAcentral
GGGUUGUGAGGUUAAGCGACUAAGCGUACACGGUGGAUGCCCUGGCAGUCAGAGGCGAUGAAGGACGUGCUAAUCUGCGAUAAGCGUCGGUAAGGUGAUAUGAACCGUUAUAACCGGCGAUUUCCGAAUGGGGAAACCCAGUGUGUUUCGACACACUAUCAUUAACUGAAUCCAUAGGUUAAUGAGGCGAACCGGGGGAACUGAAACAUCUAAGUACCCCGAGGAAAAGAAAUCAACCGAGAUUUCCCCAGUAGCGGCGAGCGAACGGGGAGCAGCCCAGAGCCUGAAUCAGUGUGUGUGUUAGUGGAAGCGUC